GCCCGAGUGGCGAAAUUGGCAGACGCGCUGGAUUUAGGUUCCAGUGGCCGAAAGGCCGUGAAGGUUCAAGUCCUUUCUCGGGCACCA
Molecule: transfer RNA, 87 nt
Filed under: Terriglobia bacterium
Lineage: Bacteria; Pseudomonadati; Acidobacteriota; Terriglobia
Also listed under: 2 other names
Description: tRNA-Leu
Rfam family: tRNA
About the family: Transfer RNA (tRNA) molecules are approximately 80 nucleotides in length.
Source: RNAcentral